CAGCCGCCGCGGUAAAACGUAGGGUGCAAGCGUUAAUCGGAAUUACUGGGCGUAAAGCGUGCGCAGGCGGUUAUAUAAGACAGAUGUGAAAUCCCCGGGCUCAACCUGGGAACUGCAUUUGUGACUGUAUAGCUAGAGUACGGCAGAGGGGGAUGGAAUUCCGCGUGUAGCAGUGAAAUGCGUAGAUAUGCGGAGGAACACCGAUGGCGAAGGCAAUCCCCUGGGCCUGUACUGACGCUCAUGCACGAAAGCGUGGAGAGCAAACAGGAUUAGAUACCCCAGUAGUCCCUGUCUCUUAUAC
RNAcentral lists this ribosomal RNA (301 nucleotides) under uncultured bacterium. RNAcentral's name for it is "partial 16S ribosomal RNA". It matches the Rfam family "Bacterial small subunit ribosomal RNA", at positions 509 to 807 of the family's 1533-position model. The record is from RNAcentral.